This 73-nucleotide small nucleolar RNA is filed under the name Ricinus communis (castor bean). RNAcentral describes it as "Small nucleolar RNA snoR60". It matches the Rfam family "Small nucleolar RNA snoR60". From Rfam's summary of the family: snoR60 is a member of the C/D class of snoRNA which contain the C (UGAUGA) and D (CUGA) box motifs. The record is from Rfam by way of RNAcentral. Lineage: Eukaryota; Viridiplantae; Streptophyta; Magnoliopsida; Malpighiales; Euphorbiaceae.
AGGCAUAUGAUGAGAUUUACUCGGAUUCCCCUUCAGGACUUCAUGGGUGAUGUAAACUCGAGUUUCUGAUGCA